Molecule: ribosomal RNA, 452 nt
Filed under: Bacillus sonorensis
Lineage: Bacteria; Bacillati; Bacillota; Bacilli; Caryophanales; Bacillaceae
Description: bacterial SSU rRNA
Rfam family: Bacterial small subunit ribosomal RNA
Source: RNAcentral
GAUACUGGCGGACGGGUGAGUAACACGUGGGUAACCUGCCUGUAAGACUGGGAUAACUCCGGGAAACCGGGGCUAAUACCGGAUGCUUGAUUGAACCGCAUGGUUCAAUUAUAAAAGGUGGCUUUUAGCUACCACUUACAGAUGGACCCGCGGCGCAUUAGCUAGUUGGUGAGGUAACGGCUCACCAAGGCGACGAUGCGUAGCCGACCUGAGAGAAUGAUCGGCCACACUGGGACUGAGACACGGCCCAGACUCCUACGGGAGGCAGCAGUAGGGAAUCUUCCGCAAUGGACGAAAGUCUGACGGAGCAACGCCGCGUGAGUGAUGAAGGUUUUCGGAUCGUAAAACUCUGUGUUAGGGAAGAACAAGUACCGUUCGAAUAGGGCGAUACCUUGACGGUACCUAACCAGAAAGCCACGGCUAACUACGGUGCCAGCAGCCGCGGUAAUACG